AUUGAACGCUGGCGGCAGGCUUAACACAUGCAAGUCGAACGGUAGCAGGAGAAUGCUUGCUUUCUUGCUGACGAGGGGCGGGCGGGUGAGUAAUGCUUGGGAAUCUGGCUUAUGGAGGGGGAUAACUACGGGAAACUGUAGCUAAUACCGCGUAAUUUCUUCGGCUUAAAGAAUGGGACUUUUAGCCAUUCGCCAUAAGAUGAGCCCAAGUGGUAUUAGGUAGUUGGUGGGGUGUAGGCCUACCAAGCCGACGAUCUCUAGCUGGUCGGAGAGGAUGACCAGCCACACGGGAACGUGGACACGGUCCAGGCGCCUACGGGAGGCAGCAGUGGGGAAUGUUGCGCAAUGGGGGCAACCCUGACGCAGCCAGGCCGCGUGAAUGAAGGAGGCCUUCGGGUUGUAAAGUUCUUUCGGUGGUGAGGAAGGCUAAUAUGUUAAUAGCAUAUGAGAUUGACGGUAGCCACAGAAGAAGCACCGGCUAACUCCGUG
RNAcentral lists this ribosomal RNA (489 nucleotides) under uncultured bacterium. RNAcentral describes it as "partial 16S ribosomal RNA". It matches the Rfam family "Bacterial small subunit ribosomal RNA", at positions 30 to 507 of the family's 1533-position model. The record is from RNAcentral.